GUGCUGGCUUCUUCAGCACAUGUACUAAAAUUGGAACGAUACAGAGAAGAUGAGCAUGGCCCCUGAGCAAGGGAUGGCAGGCAAAUUCACCAAGCAUUCCAUAUUUAU
Small nuclear RNA from Peromyscus maniculatus bairdii (prairie deer mouse), 108 nucleotides. Lineage: Eukaryota; Metazoa; Chordata; Mammalia; Rodentia; Cricetidae. The record is from Ensembl.